RNAcentral lists this ribosomal RNA (284 nucleotides) under uncultured bacterium. RNAcentral describes it as "partial 16S ribosomal RNA". It matches the Rfam family "Bacterial small subunit ribosomal RNA", at positions 29 to 339 of the family's 1533-position model. The record is from RNAcentral.
AACGAACGCUGGCGGCAGGCCUAACACAUGCAAGUCGAACGCUGUAGCAAUACAGAGUGGCAGACGGGUGAGUAACGCGUGGGAACCUUCCCAGUGGUGCGGAAUAGCUCAGGGGAAACUUGAGGUAAUACCGCAUAAGCCCCUAGGGGGAAAGAUUUAUCGCCAUUGGAUGGGCCCGCGUCGGAUUAGCUAGUUGGUGAGGUAAUGGCUCACCAAGGCAACGAUCCGUAGCUGGUUUGAGAGAAUGACCAGCCACACUGGGACUGAGACACGGCCCAGACUCC